CGGGGGGAGCAAGCGUUGUUCGGAUUUACUGGGCGUAAAGGGCGCAUAGGCGGCGCAACAAGUCACUUGUGAAAUCUCCGGGCUUAACCCGGAGCGGUCAAGUGAUACUGUCGUGCUAGAGUGCGGAAGGGGCAACUGGAAUUCUCGGUGUAGCGGUGAAAUGCGUAGAUAUCGAGAGGAACACCUGCGGCGAAGGCGGGUUGCUGGGCCGACACUGACGCUGAUGCGCGAAAGCCAGGGGAGCGAACGGGAUUAGAUACCCCGGUAGUCCUGGCCUUAAACGAUGGAUGCUUGGUGUCCGGGGUUAGAUAGUCCCCGGGUGCCGUCGCUAACGCUUUAAGCAUCCCGCCUGGGGAGUACGCACGCAAGUGUG
RNAcentral lists this ribosomal RNA (373 nucleotides) under uncultured organism. RNAcentral's name for it is "bacterial SSU rRNA". It matches the Rfam family "Bacterial small subunit ribosomal RNA", at positions 526 to 896 of the family's 1533-position model. The record is from RNAcentral.